RNAcentral lists this ribosomal RNA (217 nucleotides) under uncultured bacterium. RNAcentral describes it as "partial 16S ribosomal RNA". It matches the Rfam family "Bacterial small subunit ribosomal RNA", at positions 28 to 250 of the family's 1533-position model. The record is from RNAcentral.
GACGAACGCUGGCGGCGUGCUUAACACAUGCAAGUCGAGCGGUAAGGCCCUUCGGGUACACGAGCGGCGAACGGGUGAGUAACACGUGGGUAACCUGCCCUCAGCUCUGGGAUAAGCCCGGGAAACUGGGUCUAAUACCGGAUAUCACCUUGGGAGGCAUCUUCCGGGGUUGAAAGUUUUGGCGGCUGAGGAUGGGCCCGCGGCCUAUCAGCUUGUU